GGAAACAUUUCAAAACGAGGUCGAUUGCUUGGGUUGAAUGUGGGUGAUAAAUACGUUGGGUUGGCUGUUUCAAACACGAAUGAUAAGAUUGCAUCACCUUUAAGUGUUCUAGUUAGGAAGAGAGGAGAUAUUGAUUUGAUGGUUGGUGAUUUUCAAUGCCUGGACGUGGAGUUGUUCUUAAAGAAUUUUAGUUUGCCUCAACUUGAGAGAAAGGAAAUGGAGUACAAGUUUAUUGCUGUUGAAUUAUUGCAGGUGACUUCUUUGUUAUCCCUCCUAUAGAGUGUUUGAUUUUUGUUCUAUUAUAGAUAAAGAAGAAGAAGAAGAGUACUACGAAGGUCCAAUCAGAUCUUGAUUUCCCAAAAAGGCCAAUAAAAUUUGAUUAGUUGGAGGUGGAUUUAAAAGAGAGUGAUGUUAUAAAUAGACCCCUUUGUUAAAUUUAAAUUCGAUUGGAAUUUUAAAUAAAAAGUAGCUAAUAAAUUUAAGUAUAAAAUUUUCUGUUUUAAAACUCAAGAAAUUUAAGCAUAAAAUGGAUUUCUCAUCCCUCAAGAAAUUACUCUCCCUUGUUUCCCUAAGCCCGUUUGUUGCGUUUCAUUUUCAACUCAACGUUGCUUUAGAUUCUUCUCAAGAAGUACAAGCUCUUCUAAAAUGGAAAGCCAACCUUCAAAACCAGAACCAUUCUCUCCUAUCUUCUGGGACUCUUUCUCCCGAUAAUGCCACCAGCAAAUCAACCCAAUUCACAGCCAAAAUAAGCCCUUGUGCUUGGUUUGGAAUUUCCUGCGACCACGAGGGAAGAAUCCAUAGAUUCAACUUGUCUGCUGCAGGUUUAAAAGUUACGCUAGAGGAAUUAUCAUUCUCAUCAUUUCCCCAUCUUGCAUAUCUUGAUUUUGCCAUCAAUGAACCCUUUGGCUCUAGUCCAGCGCAAAUUGGUAAUCUCUCUAAACUAAAGUACCUUGACUUGUCAAUUAAUUUGUUUUUUGGGAAAUUGCCAAUUAACACAUCUUGAAAUCCUCUACAUGGUUGAGAAUCAGUUGAAUGGUUCAAUGCCUCAAGAAUCAGAGUAGCUAAGUUCUCUUUGUAAAUUAGGUCUCGACAAUAACCAUUUGCAUGGUCCAA
Long non-coding RNA from Pistacia vera, 1113 nucleotides. RefSeq lists it as uncharacterized. Lineage: Eukaryota; Viridiplantae; Streptophyta; Magnoliopsida; Sapindales; Anacardiaceae. The record is from RefSeq and is a predicted model, not a curated record. The transcript has 3 exons.